Molecule: ribosomal RNA, 207 nt
Filed under: uncultured bacterium
Lineage: Bacteria
Description: partial 16S ribosomal RNA
Rfam family: Bacterial small subunit ribosomal RNA
Source: RNAcentral
CUUGUAGGCGGUUGGUCGCGUCUGCCGUGAAAUCCUCUGGCUUAACUGGGGGCGUGCGGUGGGUACGGGCUGACUUGAGUGCGGUAGGGGAGACUGGAACUCCUGGUGUAGCGGUGGAAUGCGCAGAUAUCAGGAAGAACACCGGUGGCGAAGGCGGGUCUCUGGGCCGCUACUGACGCUGAGGAGCGAAAGCGUGGGGAGCGAACA